RNAcentral lists this ribosomal RNA (459 nucleotides) under uncultured bacterium. RNAcentral's name for it is "partial 16S ribosomal RNA". It matches the Rfam family "Bacterial small subunit ribosomal RNA", at positions 338 to 795 of the family's 1533-position model. The record is from RNAcentral.
CCUACGGGGGCAGCAGUGAGGAAUAUUGGUCAAUGGGCGCAAGCCUGAACCAGCCAAGUCGCGUGAGGGAUGACGGUCCUAUGGAUUGUAAACCUCUUUUGUCGGGGAGCAAGGCCCGCCACGUGUGGCGUGAAGGAGAGUACCCUAAGAAACAGCAUCGGCUAACUUCGUUCCAGCAGCGGCGGUAAUACGGGGGAUGCGAGCGUUAUCCGGAUUUAUUGGGUUUAAAGGGUGCGUAGGCGGAAGGUUAAGUCAGCGGUCAAAUGUCGGUGCUCAACACCGGCCUGCAGUUGAAACUGGUAUUCUUGAGUGAGCGAGAGGUAUGCGGAAUGCGAGGUGUAGCGGUGAAAUGCAUAGAUAUCACGCAGAACUCCGAUGGCGAAGGCAGCAUACCGGCGCGCAACUGACGCUGAGGCACGAAAGCGUGGGGAUCGAACAGGAUUAGAUACCCGAGUAGUC